UCAAAUUGAACGCUGGCGGCAUGCUUUACACAUGCAAGUCGAACGGUAACAGGGUGCUUGCACCGCUGACGAGUGGCGAACGGGUGAGUAAUGCGUCGGAACGUGCCGAGUAGUGGGGGAUAACGCAGCGAAAGUUGUGCUAAUACCGCAUACGUACUGAGGUAGAAAGUGGGGGACCUUCGGGCCUCACGCUAUUCGAGCGGCCGACGUCUGAUUAGCUAGUAGGUGAGGUAAAGGCUCACCUAGGCGA
Molecule: ribosomal RNA, 250 nt
Filed under: uncultured bacterium
Lineage: Bacteria
Description: partial 16S ribosomal RNA
Rfam family: Bacterial small subunit ribosomal RNA
Source: RNAcentral